RNAcentral lists this ribosomal RNA (516 nucleotides) under uncultured Glomus. Its description in RNAcentral is "SSU rRNA". It matches the Rfam family "Eukaryotic small subunit ribosomal RNA", at positions 569 to 1088 of the family's 1831-position model. Lineage: Eukaryota; Fungi; Glomeromycota; Glomeromycetes; Glomerales; Glomeraceae. The record is from RNAcentral.
AGCAGCCGCGGUAAUUCCAGCUCCAAUAGCGUAUAUUAAAGUUGUUGCAGUUAAAAAGCUCGUAGUUGAAUUUCGAGACCGGCUUACUGGUCGUGCUUUUGUACGUACUGGUAUAAUCGGUUUCUCCUUUCUGACGAACUAUAAUGCCAUUAAUUUGGUGUUAUAGGGAAUCAGGACUGUUACUUUGAAAAAAUUAGAGUGUUUAAAGCAGGCUCACGCUUGAAUACAUUAGCAUGGAAUAACGGAAUAGGACGUUUGAUUCUAUUUUGUUGGUUUCUAGGAUCGACGUAAUGAUUAAUAGGGAUAGUUGGGGGCAUUAGUAUUCAAUUGUCAGAGGUGAAAUUCUUGGAUUUAUUGAAGACUAACUACUGCGAAAGCAUUUGCCAAGGAUGUUUUCAUUAAUCAAGAACGAAAGUUAGGGGAUCGAAGACGAUCAGAUACCGUCGUAGUCUUAACCAUAAACUAUGCCGACUAGGGAUCGGAUGAUGUUAAUUUUUAAUGACUCAUUCGGCGCCU